AUUGAACGCUGGCGGCAUGCCUUACACAUGCAAGUCGAACGGUAACGCGGGGCAACCUGGCGACGAGUGGCGAACGGGUGAGUAAUGCAUCGGAACGUACCCAGUAGUGGGGGAUAGCCCGGCGAAAGCCGGAUUAAUACCGCAUACGACCUACGGGUGAAAGGGGGGGAGUCGCAAGACCUCUCGCUAUUGGAGCGGCCGAUGUCAGAUUAGGUAGUUGGUGGGGUAAAGCCUACCAAGCCUGUGAUCUGUAGCUGGUCUGAGAGGACGACCAGCCACACUGGGACUGAGACACGGCCCAGACUCCUACGGGAGGCAGCAGUGGGGAAUUUUGGACAAUGGGCGCAAGCCUGAUCCAGCAAUGCCGCGUGCGGGAAGAAGGCCUCGGUGUAACGCUUUGUCAGGAGAA
RNAcentral lists this ribosomal RNA (409 nucleotides) under uncultured bacterium. Its description in RNAcentral is "bacterial SSU rRNA". It matches the Rfam family "Bacterial small subunit ribosomal RNA", at positions 29 to 446 of the family's 1533-position model. The record is from RNAcentral.